UUAAUUGUCCGCCCAAUUAAUACAAAAAAAUAACUGAAACCCAAAAAUUAGGGUAUUGAAAAGUCUCAUUUCCUUCUUCUUUUUUCUCUCGAUCUAUCUCACUCUCAUUCUUCGUUCUCCCUUCUUCCUCUCUUCUUUCUCUACACCUCUCACAAAAUCUGAUUUCGUUUAUCCGACCCUCUCACCAACCCUAGUACGACAUCGUCAGAUCUGGAAGUGAUGACAAUGAAGGAAUCUCUAGUGAAGUUACGCCGCCGAUAAGCCUCCAAGGAAGAAACGUCAUCACUGACACACUCCUCAACAGAUCUAAGAGCUCAUAUCGUAAUCUCCUCUCUUUCUUUUUGAUCGAGUUAAUCCCUAUUCAGAUUUGAGUGUUUUUUUUGGGUUGGGGAUUUCAGGUUGAGUGGUUGAGAUGGAGGGUUCGUGUUUUCAUUCCAAAUUCGGUGAAGCUCUUCUCAGGUGGUGUGAGUGAAUCUGGGACCUUUUCUCUCUUCUUUUGAUUUCCCUUUUCUCUUACUCUCUCGUCUUCUCCUCCUUUUUGUUGUUGUUUGUUUGUUGGAUGUUCGGUUAUUGAAGUGGAUUCGCGAUAAGUUGAAAAGAUUCUUUCAAAAAUACUCGAUUCUACUAAAAGCAGACUCUGCUAUGAACGAGAUCUACUUGCCAUUGUUGAAGCUGGUGAAUAGGUUUGUGCUUGAUAAUAAAUUUUCAAUAAUCUGAUUUGAUCUUGUUUGAUUAAGGAAAAUUUCAUAUACAUGCUCCUCUACCUCCACAAGGGGUUCACCUCUUAGCGAAUUGAACUUCUUAACUUCUAUCCUCAUUGUCCGUAUGUACAAGAAAAGUGAAAACAAUUGUUUAUGACUUGAUGAUAUAAGAAGUUUCAAAGAUUGGAGGUCCGAGAGUGAAGAGUUCAAGUUUAAAUACAAGAUUUGUAGCUUCUGCUCAGUGCCAGCAGCAAAGGGAUUGUUUUCUUUUUUCUAAGAGACUCAGAUGUAUAAACCCUUAUUCAAGCGAGACUUUUGUAUCAUUGUUUCAUAUAAACAUAUUAUAAUAAAAGUAAGACAAUUUUCUCUUUUA
Non-coding RNA from Camelina sativa (false flax), 1074 nucleotides. NCBI's taxonomy places the organism in Eukaryota, Viridiplantae, Streptophyta, Magnoliopsida, Brassicales, Brassicaceae. The record is from RefSeq and is a predicted model, not a curated record.